Molecule: long non-coding RNA, 523 nt
Filed under: Setaria viridis
Lineage: Eukaryota; Viridiplantae; Streptophyta; Magnoliopsida; Poales; Poaceae
Description: long non-coding RNA (SVIR_LNC000368)
Source: RNAcentral
UGAAUAGUCCCCCAAGAAGCCUCUGAAUAGCACUUCUGGUUACUGCAUUGGGCGCAUGGACAAGAUAUUAACCCGUUCUCUGGCUUGUUCGCUUUAACCACUUCAAGAAAAUUAUUCAUGCUAGCAAUAAACACCUUGCUCUGCCUGUCCGCGUUAUACAUCCAUUGCUGGUCCAUCUGCAUCGUAUUACGCAAGCCAUCAAUAAAAUAGAUUAUAAUAAAACUAUUCAAAAUUCAAUAUUUCCCACAUAAUGUACUUAUUCUAAAAAUGGCUAAUUGCAUACCUCUAUCUGAAAAGUACUAAAGUAUCAAAUUAUACCUACAAUUUAUAUGGCUAAUUUAUAAGUAUUAAAAACAAAUUUACUCUAAUUUUUCACUAAUACAUAAAAUUGAAAUAAUCUCAAUUCUACCUCACAUUUACUGUCCAUUCUCCCUCACAUUCAAACUAUCUAUCAUAUUGUAGCUCAAAAACAUGUAUAAAUACAAAUCCUCUUCAUGCUUAACAACAAACAAACUAAUUUUUC